ACCAUUCUACUUGAUGUCUCUAUGAAUCUGACUACUCUAGGUACCUCAGAUGAGUGGAAUUAUGCAGUAUUUGUCCUUUCGUGUGUACAACUAAUUUGACAGGCAGUAUGAUAAGGAACAAUCUGAAUGACACGUAAACAGGAGGGGGUAAAUUCCAAGCACAGCCUGAAUGAGAAGUAUAACUCAUUUCCCGUAACCUAGAUGCCUUUUUAACACAUCUAUGCAGUCUCCAUGUGAAACCAGGUGCUGUUCCCAAAGGAGAAAACACUGCCCUCCAGUGGUCUUCAAUGAAGAAAUGGAAAUAGUUUCAGGUGGAAACCAGGCUUCUUGGAAGAAUUCAAACUAUGCCAAAUGGUCUGAUUUCACCAUAGAGAAUGUUAUACUAUUAAUUGCCAAUUUGCAUAUGUGUGCAGCUGCUGUUUUGGCUCUGAACUCAAUCCGAUAAGCUUGCUGGAGGUAUCGCAGAGCACUUGGCAGCUUUCCUAUUUGAAAAGAAAGCCUCUCCCCUCUACAGAACAGCUGAUCGUCUAUCAGCGAUAGACCCUGAUGGCGUGAAUUACAAUUACACUACUUUUCACACUAAAUCUGGGUGAUAGCUACUUGGAAAGAAGUUUCAUCAUUUUUUACCACAAACUGGAAAAAGAAUUACAUGGUCAUGCUGUGCUUUUAAAGGCAGUUUGGUUCACUUUUGUCUAUUUAACACCUAAUUCCAAGAAGUCCAUAGGCAUCUAGAGAUCUGAAUGGCGCGUAAUGAAUUCACUGUUUAGAUUGAAGAUUUUAAAAAUCUACCUCAAAUUACAUUUAUUAACAGGGCGACCAGGAAGUGUUAAAGUUGUUAGACGCUUCAUUUAUUAAAUAAUUUGUGGGUAUUUUCAGUUGUCAUAUCUAGAGUCAUGGGGUUUGCUUAUUUUUUUUAAUUAGCAAUCCAAAACAAUGCUACUGCAAUUUAACAAUUCAGCACAUAAUCUUGGGCUCUUCAGUUCAGCUGCUAAUGUUAGAUAAUUCAGAUUGUUAUUUUGAUCUGUUUAUAAAUGAUUUUGGUUGCAUUGUGCUGUGAGGAGAACUGCAGCAGCCCAGGCAGAUGAUCUUUCUCUUAUUUCCUGCAUUGCUCAGGAUGGUUGAGGGGCCUUCCAAAAAAUGCAUUUGAGGAGUUAAGUUUAGCAUCUAGCAAAAGCAAACAAGUGAUGGGGCAGGGGGCACUAAUAAUAACUUGAUUUAUUAUCAUCACUUAUUUACGUCAUUAUCAAUUUACAUUUCCUGUCUGUUCGGAAAACUGAGGAAGGGCCUCUUUGCCAAACUACAUUUUGUUAGAAUCCUCCAUUUCUCUGAUUUUCUGGGACGUUAGAAAGUAUCGUCUUUCCUCUUCUUGAAAGAAUCGGCCAACCAUCAGAAAAUUUAAGAAGCUCCUAAACAUCCCUUUUCUUUUCUCUUUCUUUCCUCAGCCCUCUUCCCCUCCCAUCUUGACAUUUAAAUCAAUUUGUUGGGGGCGGGGGGGAAGAACAAGAGUUAAACCCACCUCAGGCAGCAGAAGUGGAACACAUUAAUCCUGACGUAGUUAACCUAAGAGAAAAAUAGAUUUUGUUUUCCUUUUUUAGUCGCUAGCUUUAUUAGAUUUCUCACUCUCACAGAUUAUCCGAAGACUACCCAUUGAUUGAUCGCCCGUAGAGCUGCAUUUGGUGUAAAGAAAAAACUCACAGCUUUAUUGGCUCUCAGGAGACAAAACAAACAGAACAAGAUAUUCAUAUUAAUGCAAACAAUGCAACAAAUGAGGGGAAGAAUCGCCCGGCUGAAGCGAGGCCCGGCGCGGCCGCGGCCGGGGGGCUGAGAAGAGCCUGGGUGCCUGUCGCUCGGGAGCCGAAGUUUCCUGGCCUCCUCCGACCCCGGGCGCCGAGAGCAGUCGGUCCCCCCGGCCUCCCGCCGGCAAAGGGGCCCUGGGGCCCAGGCGCGCGGCCCCUGAGCGGCGGCAGGCGGCCCAGGCCAGGGCCGGCGCCUGGAGGAGGCCUCCAGUCCAGGCCUCAUGGAAGGGCCUGCCUCGCGCGGCCCCGCAACGCCUCGCAGUGUGGCACUGGAAGGGACCUAAAAACCCACCUGGCUUUCUCCUUUCCCCUUCCCCACGCUUCCCAGGGCCCAAUGCCCGCAUCUCAGUUUCCCUUUCCGGCAGGGUCAGGGGUGAGAGGGAGGAAUUCUCAGGUGUCACCUCCUCACCCGCCUGGAGGCGGAGGCUAGAGAGACGCCGGGGCACUCUGGAGGGGAGGAAGCGGUGUGCCACGAAUUCUCUCUCUUAAACGCUCGCGUUAUCACGGAGGAGACUUUAUAAACGCUUUAAACACAACACCAACCAUUUUAUCAGCAAAAGCGAGGGGAGGGGGGCGUACAGUAAAUGCUGAGAGAUGUUCGACAAGCCCCAAGACGUUCCCUGCGGAAGGAGAACGGAAGAAAGAAAACUCCGGGCGGAAAAAGAAUUCUUUGCUGAAGAAUGCAGCUGUAUUAAAGGAAGAAAGAAAACCAAGCUACAGCUCCUUAUAAUUCAACAAGCAUGUAAAAGGUUUAUAAAGAUGGUGCAAUUAUGUAUUUAAGCUGCUUCAACACAAGUUCUUGCCUUUCACUCCCACCCUGUGGCUUACACUGGUAUUACAUCUAUUCUGACAUUUAAAAAUCAACAUUAAAGAACAUGUUAUAAUAAUGUA
Long non-coding RNA from Pongo pygmaeus (Bornean orangutan), 2687 nucleotides. RefSeq lists it as uncharacterized. NCBI's taxonomy places the organism in Eukaryota, Metazoa, Chordata, Mammalia, Primates, Hominidae. The record is from RefSeq and is a predicted model, not a curated record. The transcript is spliced from 5 exons.